AGCUGGUGCGAAUCUCGCACGCGGCAGGACAUGUCCAAAACGGGUGGGAAAUUCGGUGGUUCUCUCCAUCCACCUCUUCGGAGGAAAGUAUGCUCUUGAGAGCUUCCUGAGCGUACAAAUUUACGCUGGGCACCGCCAUCAGAAAUCAAGCAGUCCAUUGGGUUGCAUGGGAGGCGGUGCGGAUGGUUGGUCUUUCAAUGUGAGGAAAGGCUGUUGAGUGCAAUUUGCGGCCAUGGCACCCGAUACCGAUCAUUGUCGAGAGUU
RNAcentral lists this RNase P RNA (264 nucleotides) under Sungouiella intermedia. Its description in RNAcentral is "Candida intermedia Nuclear RNase P". The stretch from base 23 to 257 matches the Rfam family "Nuclear RNase P". Rfam says of the family: Ribonuclease P (RNase P) is a ubiquitous endoribonuclease, found in archaea, bacteria and eukarya as well as chloroplasts and mitochondria. Its best characterised activity is the generation of mature 5'-ends of tRNAs by cleaving the 5'-leader elements of precursor-tRNAs. Lineage: Eukaryota; Fungi; Ascomycota; Pichiomycetes; Serinales; Metschnikowiaceae. The record is from Rfam by way of RNAcentral.